Molecule: long non-coding RNA, 843 nt
Organism: Vanessa tameamea
Lineage: Eukaryota; Metazoa; Arthropoda; Insecta; Lepidoptera; Nymphalidae
Exons: 3
Source: RefSeq, a predicted model, not a curated record
AUGACCAUAGUCUCACAAAAUCAAUACAUUGCAGUUUAUUCGGAAAACAGCGCUACGAUUGUAUUCGUCAAUAAUUAAACGCAAAUACUUACGGAGGGACUUAGAAAUAAAUUAGAAAAUAGUUUUUAAUUGUUAACAGUCCAAUAAACUCGGUCCGAAUGGCGGCUUCAGUGGAUGAAGUUGAAGUGAUCAUUAUCAAACCAGACAAAAUGUCAAACAGCUGGACUGGUACAUUGAAGAUCUGUGCCAUGAUAGUGUUUGUGUUUGCGUUGUACACUUACCUCCAUAUUUAUAUAAGAGGACUUAUAAUAAAAUCUAAGCAACUUGACCGUAUAGGAAUGUUGACAGUGAAGGCGGACAAUAUGAUGGAGCAUAUUUUUGUUAUCGACCAAAACAUAACCAUGUCUUUGGAAGAGCUGAUGGACUUAGAGUGAUACACCUUUCUUAUAAGAUAAAUAAUCUCUCUGUGUAUGUAUUUUGUAUAACAUGAGACUAUGAAUCAAUUAUUUUCAUAGUACAUGUCAAUAUUCUUUGUCACUUUUUUGACAAAAAGAGUGGCAGAGAACAUAGUUGUCUGAUCAGUGUAGAACCUUAGACUCACACAUACACUCAAAUCACAAUCGUUGGAUGUAAUAAGUGUUUCUGAAAUAAUAAUGUCUUCAUUUCAGUAACCAAAUUAAUAAUAUAUCAAAUAAUAUCAAAUACAUUUCCUAGUAAAACAAGCUUGGAACAACCUAUCACUAGCUGUUAAGAGGAUUAUGUUAAUUUUUAAUCUUUAGGUAGAAUUUCUGUGAUAUUUAUCUUUUUAAGUACUUAAUGCUGCUUUAUUUAUUGUAAUUUGUU